Molecule: ribosomal RNA, 465 nt
Filed under: uncultured bacterium
Lineage: Bacteria
Description: partial 16S ribosomal RNA
Rfam family: Bacterial small subunit ribosomal RNA
Source: RNAcentral
CCUACGGGUGGCAGCAGUGGGGAAUAUUGCACAAUGGGCGAAAGCCUGACGCAGCGACGCCGCGUGAGGGAUGAAGGUCUUCGGAUCGUAAACCUCUUUCAGCAGCGAAGAACGGACACUGUUCUAAUCAGCAGUGAAUUGACGGUACCUGCAAAGGAAGCACCGGCUAACUCCGUGCCAGCAGCCGCGGUAAUACGGGGGGUGCGAGUGUUAAUCGGAAUUACUGGGCGUAAAGCGCACGUAGGCGGUAUGUUAAGUCACGGGUGAAAGCCCCGCGCUCAACGUGGGAAUUGCCUUUGAUACUGGGUAACUGGAGUGCGUGAGAGGAGAGUGGAAUUCCAGGUGUAGGAGUGAAAUGCGUAGAUAUGUGGAGGAACAUCAGUGGCGAAGGCGACUAUCUGGCAAAUAACUGACGCUGAGGAGCGAAAGCGUGGGUAGCAAACAGGAUUAGAUACCCCUGUAGUC